GAUGAAGAACGUAGCGAAAUGCGAUAAGUAAUGUGAAUUGCAGAAUUCAGUGAAUCAUCGAGUCUUUGAACGCACAUUGCGCCCCCUGGAAUUCCGGGGGGCAUGCCUGUUCGAGCGUCUCAGGGACGAACCCUCGCGCGGGUGUACGCGCGGUCGUGGCUGCGGUGGCGUGCCCGAGGCGGCGGCCACCGCGCUGGAAUCCAUGGGCGGACGCCUGCCGCGUGGCCGAGCGUGAUAUGACGCAUUGGCGCUCGCACGCGGAGAGGCUGCCAGCCCUGGCCCGUCUGUCGGGCGGGGGAGAGCAAGACACGUGAACUCCUCGAAUCAGGUAGGGAUACCCGCUGAACUUAAGCAUAUCAAUAAGCGGAGGA
RNAcentral lists this unclassified non-coding RNA (371 nucleotides) under soil metagenome. RNAcentral's name for it is "partial contains 5.8S ribosomal RNA, internal transcribed spacer 2, and large subunit ribosomal RNA". The stretch from base 1 to 120 matches the Rfam family "5.8S ribosomal RNA", at positions 35 to 154 of the family's 154-position model. The record is from RNAcentral.